Molecule: ribosomal RNA, 520 nt
Filed under: uncultured bacterium
Lineage: Bacteria
Description: bacterial SSU rRNA
Rfam family: Bacterial small subunit ribosomal RNA
Source: RNAcentral
GUCGAGAAUCUUGCACAAUGCACGAAAGUGUGAUGCAGCGACGCCGCGUGAAGGAUGAAGGCCCUUGGGUCGUAAACUUCUUUUAGAGGGGAAGAAUCAAUGACGGUACCCUCUGAAUAAGCCACGGCUAACUACGUGCCAGCAGCCGCGGUAAUACGUAGGUGGCAAGCGUUGUCCGGAUUUACUGGGUAUAAAGGGUGCGCAGGCGGGCCUUUAAGUAAGAAGUGAAAGGUGGGAGCUCAACUCCUACACUGCUUCUUAUACUGGGGGCCUUGAGUCUUGGAGGGGGAAGCGGAACGACACGUGUAGCGGUGAAAUGCGUUGAUAUGUGUCGGAACACCAAUGGCGAAAGCAGCUUCCUGGACAAGUACUGACGCUCAGGCACGAAAGCCAAGGUAGCAAACAGGAUUAGAUACCCUGGUAGUCUUGGCCAUAAACGAUGAUCACUAGGUGUCGGGGGUCUCCUCGGUGCCGCAGCUAACGCAUUAAGUGAUCCACCUGGGGACUACGGCCGCAAGGU